Molecule: ribosomal RNA, 399 nt
Filed under: uncultured bacterium
Lineage: Bacteria
Description: bacterial SSU rRNA
Rfam family: Bacterial small subunit ribosomal RNA
Source: RNAcentral
GGAAUAUUGCACAAUGGGGGAAACCCUGAUGCAGCGACGCCGCGUGAGCGAAGAAGUAUUUCGGUAUGUAAAGCUCUAUCAGCAGGGAAGAAAAAUGACGGUACCUGAGUAAGAAGCACCGGCUAAAUACGUGCCAGCAGCCGCGGUAAUACGAAUGGUGCAAGCGUUAUCCGGUUUUACUGGGUGUAAAGGGAGCGCAGGCGGUUCAGCAAGUCUGAUGUGAAAGCCCGGGGCUCAACCCCGGGACUGCAUUGGAAACUACCGAACUAGAGUGUCGGAGAGGUAAGUGGAAUUCCUAGUGUAGCGGUGAAAUGCGUAAAUAUUAGGAGGAACACCAGUGGCGAAGGCGGCUUACUGGACGAUAACUGACGCUGAGGCUCGAAAGCGUGGGGAGCAGAC